This 82-nucleotide ribosomal RNA is filed under the name Neoseiulus californicus. RNAcentral's name for it is "partial 18S ribosomal RNA". The record is from RNAcentral. Lineage: Eukaryota; Metazoa; Arthropoda; Arachnida; Mesostigmata; Phytoseiidae.
GCUCUGCAUGUGUAAUGUUUGCAUGAAGAUCAAACUUGAUCAUUUAGAGGAAGUAAAAGUCGUAACAAGGUUUCCGUAGUGA